GGGAAGUCGGCCAGGCCUGCGCGGCUUCCCAGGCUGUCCCGGCGCAGAGGCGGCCCCGGGCCUCCUUGGAAAGGAACUGUCCCCGUGUAUCCCGGCGAGGUUCGCUGCAGAGACACAACUGUCCAACCAUUUAUCACUCAGAAACGUUUUACUGAUCUUCUGGAAAUAUGUCAUCGUUUAGGAGUAUUAUAUAUCUUUCUAAAAUCACUCAAGAUUUAUGGUGGCGACUUGAAUUCCUUUAGAGCUAUCUGCUUCACACUUUUGAACACCAAAGGAAGAGAAAAGAUUGUAUUUUAAGGAAUUUAGACCAAUGGUUAUGAAGAAGCCAGAGACCAGAACAUAUCCUGAGAUUAGACACAAACAAAUGAGAAAAGAUGAUUGCUAAAAGCGAUAGGAGCCUUCUAGGAUUCAGCAGGACCCCACCCUGCCAGCCUCCCACCCUAUAUCGAAUCAUUUCCUUGCGUGUAAUGAGCCGUGGAAGUCCAGUUUUUACCUAAUCAGUUCUAUCACUCAUUGGCUUAUCCUACCUUGAGAUCCCCUAAAGGUUCUGGGGAAUGGUGAUUUCAAACUAAAUCGCUUACCAAGGCUGAUAUUUGAAUCACUAAAAAGGCACAGAAUUGUGGAGGGGCGUGCCUCUUGGAUGGACAAAUCUUCAGGAUAAAUAGAAGGAAUAUGUAGAAAGGUUUCACAACAGACAAAUCUGCAAUAACCUAUCUGAAAGAGUGAGUAAGCUCCUUAAAAACCACCCUGGCGUGAGACCUGUGUCAAUGUUCGCAGUGCCACCAUUCCCAUUACUCCUCCAGCAGAACACUUUCCUGGAAGUCCUGAGGAGCAUUCAUCAAAACAAAUGGGCUGCUUUCUUUGGGUGGGGGGGGGAUGCUGCCGCCCUUGGAGUCCAAGACACACACAUUUUCCCCUGCGACAUGAAGCGGUAUAAAGAAUGGUUGUCACCAUUCGUGACCAACAACCCACAAGGUUCAAAGUGUUCGCACAGGAUAAGAAUGUUGACAGCAUCCUUAGAAUAGACCCAAGCUAACUGGCCUUGGAAUUGAAUGCAGUUAGCCUCAUCAGCAAGAACCAAGGAAAUUCACCAGCCUCUGAAUUGAUCAAGGUCUUUGCUCAAGGAGAGAUUCCUAAAAUGCAAAGCAAAAAAAAACACUGAUUUUUUUUUUUCCAGGAUGGGUAGCUGGGUUCUCAUUUGAGCCCAGGUUUAUGAUGGAAGAACAUGAAUAAAGUUCCAACCCUCUUGAGAGCAGUUGAUGCCCAUAUAAGGGCAGUUUUCUUCUGGAGAAAGUCCCAG
RNAcentral lists this long non-coding RNA (1300 nucleotides) under Pan troglodytes (chimpanzee). RNAcentral's name for it is "long non-coding RNA NONPTRT007840". The record is from RNAcentral. Lineage: Eukaryota; Metazoa; Chordata; Mammalia; Primates; Hominidae.